This 120-nucleotide ribosomal RNA is filed under the name Bison bison bison. The record is from RNAcentral. Lineage: Eukaryota; Metazoa; Chordata; Mammalia; Artiodactyla; Bovidae.
GUCUCAGGCCGUAUCAGCCUGAAGGCGCCCGUUCUCGUCUGAUCUCGGAAGCUAAGCAGGGUCGGGCCUGGUUAGUAUCUUGGAUGGGAGACCACCUGGGAAUCCCGGGUGCUCGAGGCU